UGGUUCUGGCAUCGAUGAAGAACGCAGCGAAAUGCGAUAAGUAAUGUGAAUUGCAGAAUUCAGUGAAUCAUCGAAUCUUUGAACGCACAUUGCGCCCAUUAGUAUUCUAGUGGGCAUGCCUGUUCGAGCGUCAUUUCAACCCUUAAGCCUAGCUUAGUGUUGGGAAUCUAUGUGUGGCCCAAGCUAUCCCGUAGCGUGGUUGCCCUGUAGUUCCUGAAAACCAACGGCGGAUUUGUAGUAUCCUCUGAGCGUAGUAAUCUUUUUUUUAUCUCGCUUCUGUCUAGGUGCUGUAGAUUCUGCCGCUAAACCCCCAAUUUUCUGUGGUUGACCUCGGAUCAGGUAGGAAUACCCGCUGA
RNAcentral lists this unclassified non-coding RNA (356 nucleotides) under uncultured fungus. RNAcentral's name for it is "partial contains 5.8S ribosomal RNA and internal transcribed spacer 2". The stretch from base 1 to 133 matches the Rfam family "5.8S ribosomal RNA", at positions 22 to 154 of the family's 154-position model. The record is from RNAcentral. Lineage: Eukaryota; Fungi.